CCGUGUCCUGAAGAAGUCAGGGUGUCCUAUGAGAGGUGCUGGCACUGCUGUAGUCUGUGAGGCUACCUGCAGAGAAUCCAUGUCUUCCCAAAAAUCUAAUCUCCAGCUGCCUACAACUUCCUUAAAUUCCCAGGUGAACGCUGUUUUACUCCUCACCGCCCUCACGCUGCAGAAUCACCCAACAGCCCAACAUCGUUACUUUGCCUAGUGGUGACCAUGAAAGGACAGCGCUGAAGGGACCCUUGACCCGGAGGAAAUAGACUACAGCACCCAUUGGCCGACUUCAGCUGCUGAGAAACUCAGAGUCAAACCUGAAUCCUACCACUGCAAAGAGCACAAGACCCUGAGGCAAGCGCUGUAUAUACCCAAGUCAUCCCUGGUGCCACCUUCAUUUACUGCACCAGGUUUUCUUCAUUGUGAUGAUGUUCCCUCUCUCUCUCUCUCUCUCUCUCUUUUUUUUAAUCCUGUUUUACUCUGCACAUUUCUACAAGCCACAAAACUACUUCUUGAAGGAUGAAUAACAUAUAAACAAGUGAACAAACAGGUAAUUGAUAGAAAUAACUUGUUUUAAAAUACUUUUACCUCCUUUUUGGAGUUGGGAAAGGCGUAAUCUUGCCUUAUCUGUCUUUAAAUGGCUGUGUUUGCAAACCAUCAUCUACUAGGUUGAGUGAAGAACGUGUUUUUAAGGGACCAUUGGUAUUUUUAAUUUCUGAUGAAGGUGACAAUUGGCCUUCUUCCAAGUGAUGUGCCAUGAAGAACUUCUACUGAGUUCUACAACAGCAUUCUGGGAGUGUUUCCCAAGACAAAGCUGACUUCUAGGUAGCUAUGGGGAGUGCCCACAAGCCUGGGCUGCAGUGAAAGUCAGCAGGAUGGACUGGAAGAGCCAGAAGUCUGUGUGGGAAGUGUCAGCCCCUUCCUGCUGCUUCCUUCCCUUGGUUGGGGUAAAUGCUCCACUUCUUCCUCUGGGCCUCAGUUUUUUCAUCAGAAAAAUUAGAAGAGAUGCUUACUGGUUAGGCCUGCUUAGGAAGAGAGAAAGACAAGUAUAGAACUUGCCCUGGAAGAGCAACCCAAGCCCAGCUGACCCACAUGGAAGGGCAACUCUCCCUACUUCCAAAUCUUUCCCUUUCUUCCUUUCUUUCUUGCUUGC
Molecule: long non-coding RNA, 1147 nt
Organism: Saimiri boliviensis boliviensis (Bolivian squirrel monkey)
Lineage: Eukaryota; Metazoa; Chordata; Mammalia; Primates; Cebidae
Source: RefSeq, a predicted model, not a curated record